Molecule: ribosomal RNA, 264 nt
Filed under: Francisella tularensis subsp. novicida
Lineage: Bacteria; Pseudomonadati; Pseudomonadota; Gammaproteobacteria; Thiotrichales; Francisellaceae
Description: partial ribosomal RNA
Rfam family: Bacterial small subunit ribosomal RNA
Source: RNAcentral
AAGUUGGGUACUCUAUUGAGACUGCCGCUGACAAGGCGAGGAAGGUGGGGACGACGUCAAGUCAUCAUGGCCCUUACGACCAGGGCUACACACGUGCUACAAUGGGUAUUACAGAGGGCUGCGAAGGUGCGAGCUGGAGCGAAACUCAAAAAGGUACUCUUAGUCCGGAUUGCAGUCUGCAACUCGACUGCAUGAAGUCGGAAUCGCUAGUAAUCGCAGGUCAGAAUACUGCGGUGAAUACGUUCCCGGGUCUUGUACACACCG